Molecule: ribosomal RNA, 253 nt
Filed under: uncultured bacterium
Lineage: Bacteria
Description: partial 16S ribosomal RNA
Rfam family: Bacterial small subunit ribosomal RNA
Source: RNAcentral
UACGUAGGGUGCAAGCGUUAAUCGGAAUUACUGGGAGUAAAGCGUGCGCAGGCGGCUUUGCAAGACAGAUGUGAAAUCCCCGGGCUUAACCUGGGAACUGCAUUUGUGACUGCAUGGCUAGAGUGCGGCAGAGGGGGAUGGAAUUCCGCGUGUAGCAGUGAAAUGCGUAGAUAUGCGGAGGAACACCGAUGGCGAAGGCAAUCCCCUGGGCCUGCACUGACGCUCAUGCACGAAAGCGUGGGGAGCAAACAGG